Molecule: long non-coding RNA, 1747 nt
Filed under: Equus caballus (horse)
Lineage: Eukaryota; Metazoa; Chordata; Mammalia; Perissodactyla; Equidae
Description: lncRNA (ENSECAG00000054294.1)
Source: RNAcentral
GAUUCUGAUUAAGGCGAAAGUUUGAGACCCACUGUUCCACAGAUUUCAAAUGGUGAAGAAUAACACCUGGGUGUGCCUGCAACAAAUCUGAAGUGAAAAGGGUCCAUACUUGGAGAUGUUAGACUCUAUGACAGAGAAGCUGCUUUUAAAAAUAGACCUUAACACUGCCUCUGUAAACAAUAUAUGAACACACAACUUUGGGAUUUUCUCCUGUUGGGAAGAGAAUGCUAUUCAGCCCAUCAGUUGAAUGGCUGCUGCGUGCCUGGCACUGACUGAGCGCUUUUCCUGCACGGCGUUAUCAUUGAACUCCAGGAGGACCAAUGACAUGGCCAGGGUCAUUCUGGACUAUUCUGAUGUAAUAUGCUGAGUUGAAUCAAGGAAGGAGAAGCUGAGACAUGUUCUGAAAUUACUUAACUCCAGUCUCCCUACUUCACCGCGACUACUCCCACCCUUCCCCCAUGUCUCUGUGAAAUUCUUUCUAUUUUGACGUAAGGCAACAGAUGAGAUGACAGUGUGAAUGACUGAUAUUAUUUAACACUCCUUAAUUAAUUGCAUUUUAAAAGUGGUGCACAUUAAUCUCAAGGGACCUGUAUUCUGGAACUCCAGCUACUAUUACGGCAUCAAGAGAAAAUAUCUAGCAGUGGGAGGGCUUCCUCGUAGGUUCCUUCAAAGGCUGGAUCUCCCCAGCUGUCUCUGCUUUUGCAAUAUCCCCUGCUUCCGUUCCCCAGCCCACAGAUCUCCAGUAGUGCCAAGUCUCGGUGUGGAGGAUUGGUCUCUGACUGCAGCUGUAUUCCGCUCCCUCGCUAGGCAGUCAGCUGUGCCAGCUCUGUGUGCUGACCUGACUUUAGAUGUGCUUUCAGAAUCUAUUUAGUUGGAGUUUUCAGGUUUCUCUAGAUGUUGAAUAUUAAGGAUAUAGCAUUCCAAUUUUUGUUACUUUGUCCAUGAAAAUAUUCCCACAUUUAUGUGGUUUUUGGUCUAUCUUUCAUCUUUAUUUUAAAAAGCCUGUGCCCAUUCUGCUUUUAUUAUAAGUUUCAUGAAAUCCUUUUGGAAGUUGGUGGGCAUAUAAAUAAAAUAUGGGACUAUUAUCAUAUUAUUGUUGUCUUUUAUAUGCUCCAGUUCCAGUUACCACUUCAAUUCCAUAUUAAAGUCAUGUAAAAAAAAAAAAAGAGAAUUCACUAUAUAAGAGAAUGUUAUCUUCUCAGCUAAUGAUUCAAUAAAUAACAGCCUCUCAACAAAAUCGCCUCCCGGAGGCUUUGUGUAGCUCCCUAACAAGCAGCUUCUCCUUGUCUGCAGCCACGCUCCUCUCGCUGUUGCUACUUCAAGGAAGCCAGAGAGCACUUCAGUAGACAAAAGGGAGCCAUAAAUAGAGGGACAGUGGAACUUUAUCCAGGAAAAAAGUAUUGUCACAGACUUUAAUGACCGCCAGUGAGAAGGGGACGGUUUGACAAAGAAACACCUGAGGUAACCAAGAUUGGUAACAACAAGAUGAAGGUCAAGAACUGAUUGCUUGAAAGACGGAGAUGACUAGAACAAGGCAGAAAUGUGAGGCAACUUGAGUGACCCAGCGAUUAAAACAAUAUGUAUCCAUUUGAAUAAUAGACUUAGGAAUGCAGUAAGUAGGCAAUUCAGCUAUGUACAAGUUAUGCCCAAAUGAAUUGAGACUGAUAAAUGUAAGACCACCCUUCUUGACUUGUGGUAAUAAAUACCAGGAUCAUGAAGGUUCUUAUUUUCUCUUCUCAACAAAGUC